RNAcentral lists this long non-coding RNA (1030 nucleotides) under Homo sapiens (human). RNAcentral describes it as "HSALNT0384733". The record is from RNAcentral. Lineage: Eukaryota; Metazoa; Chordata; Mammalia; Primates; Hominidae.
CUUGUGAUCCGCCUGCCUCGGCCUCCCAAAAUGCCGGGAUUACAGUCGUGAGCCACCGCACCCGGCCAAUGAUGAGCUUUUCUGAAGUAGCAUCAGACCAGGCUGCAAAAGAGGGGCACCAGGGAAAGCUUUUCCUGCCAUUCACCCCUGCAGGAUCCUGGCCAGGCGAGUAGCUGUGUGACCCUGGGUUGAGUCAUCCCCAUUUUACAGAGGGAAAACUGAGACUCCGGAGGUUUGCGACAUGGCCUGCUAACAGGCAGAGCCGGGAUUCAAAUCAAGAUCUCACUCCAGUGAGUGAAUGGGAACAGGAUGCAGAUGGUAGACACUGAACACGAAGAAGAAAGCACUGAGGCUGGGAUGAAGAAAGACUUGCUGGCCUUUGGGCAGGAUGGAGUAACCACUGGACUGAAGAAAUGAUCUGUGAGUCCAGACGUGGUGGCUCAUGCCUCUAAUCCCAGCAUUUUAGGAGGCUGAGGUCAGAGAAUUGCUCGAGCCGAGGAGUUCAAGAUCAGCCUGGGCAACAAAGCAUGAUGUUGUCUCCACAAAAAUAAAAUAAUGAAGUAAAAUAUCUGAAACCUGCUGCAGCCUGUUCAUUGGUGUUAAGAUAACUCCCUCUCCCAGAAGCCUUGGCUAAGCACACUGUCGAGGCCAGUGCUUCUCAAUAGGUGGGUGACUUUGUCCUCCUCACCCCCAGGGACACUUGGUAAUAUCUGGAGACAUUUUGGGUUACUGCAAUUGGAUGGUAUGCUACUGGCACCUAUGGGCAGAAGCCAGGGAUGCUGUUUCACACCCUGCAGCAAACAAGACAGCCCUGUCCACCCAACAAAGAAUUGUCUGGCCACAACAUUACUAAAGCUGAGGCUGAGGGAAGUUGGUCUAGGCUACAUGUUUUUCUCUUUACAGAGAAAAUGACCCAUCAUGUCUCCUAAUAGAGAAACGCUGCUUCCGGCCGAAUGACAAGAGCUCACGCCUGUAAUCCCGACACUUUGGGAGGCCAAGGCAGGUGGAUCACUUGAGGUCAGGAGCUCGA